GGGGGUGUAGCUCUGUGGGAGAGAUCGUGCCUGUUAUACACAAGGUCCUGGGUUCGAUCCCCAGCACUGCAA
This 72-nucleotide transfer RNA is filed under the name Fukomys damarensis (Damara mole-rat). It matches the Rfam family "tRNA". Rfam says of the family: Transfer RNA (tRNA) molecules are approximately 80 nucleotides in length. Lineage: Eukaryota; Metazoa; Chordata; Mammalia; Rodentia; Bathyergidae. The record is from Rfam by way of RNAcentral.